This 2940-nucleotide long non-coding RNA is filed under the name Chinchilla lanigera (long-tailed chinchilla). RNAcentral's name for it is "lncRNA (ENSCLAG00000022313.1)". Lineage: Eukaryota; Metazoa; Chordata; Mammalia; Rodentia; Chinchillidae. The record is from RNAcentral.
AUGAAAGAAGACGUCCAGAACUGCUUAGAAAGUGACAAGAAUGAUGGGAUAAAGAAAAAUGCACCCAGAUCCACGGAUGACUGGCUACCGUUCCCAGUGGGAGGUGGAAGCUGCAGUAACCUUGUGGGUGCAGUGCUUGGAGCCUUCACCGCUAUGUGCUAUUUCUACGCCACACUGCCCUGGUUGGUGAACAUCAGAGUGGAGUCUCUUGUACCAGGACUGCCACCUGUUAGAGGUAAUGAGGAACACGCAGCUCACGCCCCAGUCUACCUCUCUCUGUGUGAUGGAAAUCACAGCUUUAAAAACUCAAUACUGCAAGGAAUUCAGCUGGCACUUUUUCACGUAUGAGAUUAUUUUUGGAGAGAGCCAGCCCAUAUAUUCACUUUUUUUUUUUAAAGCAAGCUAUUAGCCUGCUUUAAAAAGAAGAAAAAUGUUGAAAUUAAAAGAGAAAUGCCUGAGAGCUUUCAGCCUAACACCCUUAUUUUCGGUUAGAUCAACUAGGACUCUACAACUAAUGAAUGAUGGAAGGGUUCAAUGGGUCUUGAUGAUCUUGUGGAAGUGGUAUAUAUAAGAUAUUAAUUGACCUGGCCUUAGUGGAAUCUUACUCUUAUAUUUAAAAAAAAAAAAAAAGAAAGAAAGCAACUUUGGGAGAUACUUAUCUGCUAUUCCCAUGCCCUGAAAAACAAAGCCAUUGGUUCACCGGAACUCUUAAAUGCCUAGGCCUGGCUCCCUGAUGAUCAGUAUUCAGUGGCUAUCAGUAGCUGUCCAGUGCAAAGGACAAUUUUAUUUUCAAAGACAGACUGUGAUGGGCUAGCUGGGCAAUGUGUGAACUGAAAUCUGUUAUUCUUGUCUUAGAUCACGAGUUGGAAAAUGGCCUCUGGGCCCAAUGAGGCCUGGUGUUUGCUUUAUAAGUAAAGUUUCCUUGGGACGCAGUCAUGUCCAUUCACUUGUGUCUUGUCUAAGGUGGUUUACACACUGCAAUGGUAGAGUUGAGCAACUGUGAAGGAUCAUACGGCUACAAAGCCAAAAAUCAUUUUGGACAUACUCUCCGGACCUUUACAGACCAAGUUUGCCAGGGAAAACACACAACAGACAAUACUCCUGAAGUCAACACUUUUAUUUUUUUAAGAUGGGAUCUCAUUAAUUUCCCCAGGCUGGCCAUAACCUUGUGAUCUUCUGGCCUCAAACUCACAAGUGCCUGAGAUUGCAGGCAUGCACCACCUCCAUCCCCAGCUUUUUCCAGGUGAUGAUUUUUCCUGAGUCUUGGACUACUGACUGUGGCCUAUUUACCUGGUCUGCUACUUAGAAGAACACAGACUGGCAGAUUAAACAUACUCAUCCUUAAAACUGAACUAAGGAAACAGAUUGCAGCUGACAAUUAGACAGAUGCACAUGGUAAUAAUGCAUACUUCAAUGGAAUGGCUAGAAGCAUAUGAAGUUCACAUUGCUGCCAGGAUAUAAAUUCUUAGCUAACAGAGCAACACAUCCACAAUGAGGGCCUGGAAAAAAAGGGAAGGUUCCAUGUGUGGUGCUGAAGCUGCUAGUCUUGUGGCUCCUUUCAAAACUUAGCCUGUUUUAGGCAGGUAGGUGGCAAUACAACUGUAAUCCCAGUUACCCAGGAGGCUGAGGCAGGGGACUGCAAGUUUAGGUCCUAUCUGGACAAUAUAAUGAGACCUUCUAUAAAAAUAAAAAAUAAAAGAGGCUGGGGAUGUGGCUCAGUGGUAGAGUACCUCUGGGUUUCACCCCCUGUAACAGUCCCCACCCCCACUUUGGGGUUAGUUCCUUCUUGCUUCUGAUCCACUCACUAUACAGAGCCCCUAACAGGCAUGCCUCCCCUAGCACACACCUUGGGCCUGUCACUGAUAUUUUAUUGCUGUUGUUGCUGACAUUUUUUCUGGUGAUGAUUUCACCGUUCCACUGUCAACUCCAUCCACAGUGUCCAGAACAUAAAUGUACUGUGUUUUGGUUUUCUACACUAUUUUGUCUCACAAUGAUAGGCCUUUUAAAGUGAAGGUCAUUCAAUACUGGCUUAAUAGUCAAGCUAUGCAGUAGAUAUUUCAUACCAUUAUUACCUCAGGUUACUGAUUCCAACAAGAGUUAAAAUGAAAUUUUUAAAAAAUCAGCUAAAAAAGAAUCCUGAUUCUAUCUCCUCCUCCUGGCCCACAUAUCUUACUAAUAUAGUUUACUUAUUAAAUGAAGUCAUUCCUAGAAAUCACUGAUAUCCUCUUGGUUAAAAGCAAGAUCAAGAUCAGAAUGAAGGUGUUGGAGUGGAGCAUGAUGUUGCACCUCUGUAAUCCCAGCACUCCGGAGGCUGAGGCAGGAGAAUCUUUGUGAGUUUGAGACCAACCUGGGCUAUAAAGUAAGCUCAAGGCCAGCCUGAAAUGCAUAGCAAGAUCUAGUCCCAAAAAGACAAAAAAAAAAAAAAAAGAAAAAGAAAAAGAAAAAAAACAAUGGAGGGGUUAGAGGGUUAUCUAGACCUAUUCUGACAUUGUGACUCCACAGUGACAGUUCUUAGGCACAAUGCAACAUUCUUUCCCCCCACAGCAACUGUAAGCCACCUUGCUAGUAAAACCUCUGGGCAUUUGCCUGGCCAAAAGCAUGCUUAAGGAACUCAAAUUUCAUUCUGGUUCAACUGCCUGGAUUCUCUUGCUGGACUAAACUAGAUCCAGAGGUCAGCAAAACACUGGCAGGUGGGCUGAAUCUGGUCUGCCACCUGUUUUUGCAAAUAAAGUUUUAUUGGGACAACAACCUUGCCUAUUUCUUAUGUGUUGUCUAUGUAGGUUUGAUGGCUUCUCUCUACAAUGGCAGAGCUAAAGACCAGUGAAAAAGGUUGUAUGGCAGCUGUAUGGAGCUAAAAAUAACUUGCCAACUUCUACACAAGAUAAUAAAUCUAAUGACCACUUGCUGAGCACACAGUGGUCCACAUCAGUCAAGGUGGGA